This 256-nucleotide ribosomal RNA is filed under the name uncultured bacterium. RNAcentral describes it as "partial 16S ribosomal RNA". It matches the Rfam family "Bacterial small subunit ribosomal RNA", at positions 524 to 776 of the family's 1533-position model. The record is from RNAcentral.
UACGUAGGGUGCGAGCGUUUAAUCGGAAUUACUGGGCGUAAAGCGUGCGCAGGCGGUUUUGUAAGCCAGGUGUGAAAUCCCCGGGCUCAACCUGGGAAUGGCAUUUGGGACUGCAAGGCUGGAGUGCGGCAGAGGAGACUGGAAUUCCUGGUGUAGCAGUGAAAUGCGUAGAUAUCUGGAGGAACACCGGUGGCGAAGGCGGCGAUCCUGGACCGGCAUUGACGCUGAGGAGCGAAAGUCAGGGGAGCAAAACAGG